RNAcentral lists this unclassified non-coding RNA (148 nucleotides) under uncultured Chaetosphaeriaceae. Its description in RNAcentral is "sequence contains ITS2". The record is from RNAcentral. Lineage: Eukaryota; Fungi; Ascomycota; Sordariomycetes; Chaetosphaeriales; Chaetosphaeriaceae.
CAACCCUCAGGCCCUGCCUGGCGUUGGAGGACUGCGCACCGCAGCUCCCAAAGCGAGCGGCGGCGGCGCCCCGAAACGAACGCAGUAGUUUUCUCUCGUUCUGGGUCCGGGUCGUUGUCCUGCCGGAAAACCCCCAUCUAUUCAAUGG